Small nucleolar RNA from Xenopus tropicalis (tropical clawed frog), 74 nucleotides. The record is from Ensembl. Lineage: Eukaryota; Metazoa; Chordata; Amphibia; Anura; Pipidae.
GUUUGUGUGAUGAUUUUACUGUAAAGUCGGAUACCCCUUCACUCUUUCUGAGUGAUAACUUCUAUCUGACAAAC